CAGCCGCCACGGUAAAACGGAGGGUGCAAGCGUUAAUCGGAAUUACUGGGCGUAAAGCGCACGCAGGCGGUCUGACAAGUCAGAUGUGAAAUCCCCGGGCUUAACCUGGGAACUGCAUUUGAAACUGUUAGGCUGGAGUCUUGUAGAGGGGGGUAGAAUUCCAGGUGUAGCGGUGAAAUGCGUAGAGAUCUGGAGGAAUACCGGUGGCGAAGGCGGCCCCCUGGACAAAGACUGACGCUCAGGUGCGAAAGCGUGGGGAGCAAACAGGAUUAGAUACCCCAGUAGUCCCUGUCUCUUAUAU
RNAcentral lists this ribosomal RNA (301 nucleotides) under uncultured bacterium. Its description in RNAcentral is "partial 16S ribosomal RNA". It matches the Rfam family "Bacterial small subunit ribosomal RNA", at positions 509 to 809 of the family's 1533-position model. The record is from RNAcentral.